UGAGGUAAAGGACUACAUGAACCUGAUUACAAAUUAAACUUGAAUGAACCAUAAAACAAACAACAUUUGUCUUUCAAAAUCAACUGAAGGAUCAAGAAGGAUGCGUUUCAUCUUCAUCAAAGUUGGUGCAUCAUCAUCAUCAUUUCUGUGUUUCUGCUGUAUAUCUCAGGUGUUUUCUCUGAUCCUGUGAGGGUAAAAGUUGAGGGUUUUGUUGGAGACUCAGCUAUCUUCUCUUGUUCGAUCCCUGAAAGUGAGAUUCAAGGCAAAACAGAAGAAUUCAGUGUACACUUGAGAGACGAUGAAGGCAAGACAGUGUGUGACAUCACUGGAGGCAACAGUACAUGUAAAGAUCAAGAUCCAAAGUACAAGGACAGAGUCGAAACAUUCCCAGACGAGUAUAAGAAGGGUAACUUCACCUUUAAACUCAACGGUCUUCAAAAAAACGAUGCAAGGAAGUACAACUGUUACAUCACAGGACCAUCUCAGAAUCACACCAUCACAGAGCUUCAUGUUGAAGAUAGAGCAGGAGGAAGAGGCAACCACGGAAGACUAAAGAUUGAUGGAGAACUACAAUCAAUUGUCUUUUUUUUAGUCCGAUUUUUCUUAGCUGGCAUACUGAAUUUAAUGUUUGUAGCAGUCACUUUUUGUGUAGCAAGGAUGGUAUUCAGGUACUAGUGUAUUGGGGGGUCCCUGGUCCCUGAUAAUUGCACCACCUUUCACCACGUCAGCAACAGAUUGUUUGUUUUCUUCUGUUACUGACAAUCAGUCAGACACAGUGUCGGAAGUAUUUUUACUCCGUUACAGUACUUCAGUACAUUUUUCAAACUGAAAAAAAAAAACAACAACAACAAAACACCAUAAUUCUUUGAUAUUUCAACCUGAACAUUUCAGACAUGAAGAACCCAAGCACAGUAUAAUAUUAGGAAACUUGACUUUACUAGAUGAUUAAAAUGGUCAGGAAAUAUAAACCAUCACAUGCAAUGACAAAUUAAACAUAAUAGCUGCAUAUACACAAGUUACCUAAAAGAGACUUUUAACAUACAUGAACAUCAAAAUAAAAGUAUCUAAGAGUAUCUAAAAUCAUGAAAACUAAACAAAUUGUUACAACAAUUGUCCUUGAAUCCAUUUUAGGAAAAAAACAACAACUAUUUUUCACAAUCCCUAUCCAAACAACACAUUUGUGAAAACUAAAUCUAAAUUGACUAAAUCAACCCAGUGUACUCAC
RNA transcript from Cyprinus carpio (common carp), 1225 nucleotides. It is a transcript of the gene named ICOS ligand-like, with no coding region annotated. The record is from RefSeq and is a predicted model, not a curated record. Lineage: Eukaryota; Metazoa; Chordata; Actinopteri; Cypriniformes; Cyprinidae. The transcript has 4 exons.